RNAcentral lists this transfer-messenger RNA (353 nucleotides) under Thermovirga lienii. RNAcentral describes it as "Standard tmRNA". It matches the Rfam family "transfer-messenger RNA". Rfam says of the family: Bacterial tmRNA, also known as 10Sa RNA or SsrA, is named for its dual tRNA and mRNA-like properties. Its role is to liberate the mRNA from a stalled ribosome. To accomplish this part of the tmRNA is used as a reading frame that ends in a translation stop signal. RNAcentral also lists the same sequence under 1 other name. Lineage: Bacteria; Thermotogati; Synergistota; Synergistia; Synergistales; Thermovirgaceae. The record is from RNAcentral.
GGGGGCGAUAGGUUUCGACGGCAGGAUGGAGGGCCUUGUGAAGCGUGCCGAGUUCUCCGCAUCUCGUUAAAAAGCGGAAUCGCACAAUAAGUGCCAACGAAAAUUACGCUCUGGCUGCUUAAUUGAAGUAGCCCGUCCUUGAAAGCCUUUUCCGCUUGGGCUUUCAAAGGGCGUCACAUAAAGCGGAUGCCCUGAUAACCGCGCUUCCCGGUUAUCAGGAAAGAUAAAGGAAGCUAGGAAACAGGAAUCCUGUCCCUGGGAGACCUGUUUCGACACUGAAACAGGGACUGCGCACGGAGAAACACAGGGUUGGCCCCUGUCGGACCGGGGUUCGAUUCCCCGCGCCUCCACCA